Molecule: transfer RNA, 65 nt
Filed under: Asterionellopsis glacialis
Lineage: Eukaryota; Bacillariophyta; Plagiogrammaphyceae; Rhaphoneidales; Asterionellopsidaceae
Source: RNAcentral
CAAAAAAUCCAAGUAUUGAAUUUUUAAAUUGCUUAAAAAACUUCCCGAAGAGUUCUGUAAAUUGG